UGUAUGUAUAUAUAUAUAUAUAUGUAUUCGAAGAAAGCAAAUACCCAAAAACAGAGAAAGCACUAUUAUCGUUACGGUUGCAUUUCCCACAUCAAAACACUAAGAAACUCUCUUAAUAUACAACAAAACCCAACCAGAUUUAGCUAAUUCAUCUUCAAUUUGUUCAUCACAAACGCAGAAGCAGAGUAGAAAUUGGAAGAACCUGAAAGCACAUUUCUAACUUUGAUUUUCAGCAUACUUAUUAAUCAGAGACAACGCAUUGCUUAUCACUCGAGUAACAUCCACAAUGCGAGCCCUAACCGAAGACUUAAUUCUUCCAUUCAGGGCGGUACCGGCAAAUCCGUCGGAGCAAGUGUUUUCGUCGGUCAUAGCGGCACUCACCCAAGUCUCAACGUUGCUAAUGUGCCAUAGGAAGUCCUUUUUCUUCGAUCCGCUAACGCGCUUCAGUUCCUCCACCGAUUUGUUCAGCCGAUCUACGGUGUCGCCGACCUCCUCCAUACAGUCCUUCAAGGCCGCGUGCUCUCUGGGCUUCAGUCCACUGAACUUCGUCAGUUUCCAGACGAAAGAUCGAGCGGAUUGAGCGCGUGAGAGGCUCACGAUUAGGGCGGUUUGGACUAAUUGGCGAGGGUUUUGUUGGAUUGUGGAGGCGAAAUUUGAGAGGGAUUGGACGCAUAGGUCAGGGUAAGUAGCGGCGCUGCACUUGGAUUUGAUGAAAUUGGAAGCUCCGGAGUUGCGGGCGGCGGCGGCGAUGGUGAGAAUGGAGAGGAGUAGUAGGAGAAGGGAGGCGGAUUUCGCCAUUGAUAGAUCUGGAGAGAAAUGGGAAGAGGAGGAAGAAGAAGAAGAUAAAGAUGAA
RNAcentral lists this unclassified non-coding RNA (853 nucleotides) under Hevea brasiliensis (rubber tree). Lineage: Eukaryota; Viridiplantae; Streptophyta; Magnoliopsida; Malpighiales; Euphorbiaceae. The record is from RNAcentral.